RNAcentral lists this ribosomal RNA (472 nucleotides) under uncultured bacterium. Its description in RNAcentral is "bacterial SSU rRNA". It matches the Rfam family "Bacterial small subunit ribosomal RNA", at positions 329 to 793 of the family's 1533-position model. The record is from RNAcentral.
CAGUCGACUCCUACGGGAGGCAGCAGUGGGGAAUAUUGCACAAUGGCGCAAGGCCUGAUGCAGCCAUGCCGCGUGUGUGAAGAAGGCCUUCGGGUUGUAAAGCACUUUCAGUUGUGAGGAAAGGUUAGUCGCUAAUAUCGGCUAGCUGUGACGUUAGCAACAGAAGAAGCACCGGCUAACUCCGUGCCAGCAGCCGCGGUAAUACGGAGGGUGCGAGCGUUAAUCGGAAUUACUGGGCGUAAAGCGCGUGUAGGUGGCUUGUUAAGCCAGAUGUGAAAGCCCCGGGCUCAACCUGGGAACUGCAUUUGGAACUGGCAGGCUAGAGUUUUGUAGAGGGUGGUAGAAUUUCAGGUGUAGCGGUGAAAUGCGUAGAGAUCUGAAGGAAUACCGGUGGCGAAGGCGACCACCUGGCCAAUAACUGACACUGAGACGCGAAGGCGUGGGUAGCAAACGGGAUUAGAUACCCUGGUAG